GGUGCAGCAGUCGCGAAAACUCCGCAAUACGCGAAAGUGUGACGGGGCUACCCCGAGUGUCGUCCGCUGAGGACGACUUUUCCACGCUGUAAGGAGGCGUGGGAAUAAGGAGAGGGCAAGUCUGGUGUCAGCCGCCGCGGUAAUACCAGCUCUCCGAGUGGUAGGGACGAUUAUUGGGCUUAAAGCGUCCGUAGCCGGCUCAGCAAGUCUCCCGUUAAAUCCAACGAUUCAAUCGUUGGACUGCGGGAGAUACUGUUGAGCUAGGAGGCGGGAGAGGCCGACGGUAUUCCCGGAGUAGGGGUGAAAUCUUAUAAUUCCGGGAGGACCACCUGUGGCGAAGGCGUCUAACCAGAACGGCUUCGACGGUGAGGGACGAAAGCUGGGGGAGCGAUCCGGAUUAGAUACCCGCGUAGUCC
RNAcentral lists this ribosomal RNA (416 nucleotides) under uncultured crenarchaeote. RNAcentral's name for it is "partial 16S ribosomal RNA". It matches the Rfam family "Archaeal small subunit ribosomal RNA", at positions 329 to 747 of the family's 1478-position model. Lineage: Archaea; Thermoproteati; Thermoproteota. The record is from RNAcentral.